Molecule: ribosomal RNA, 207 nt
Filed under: uncultured bacterium
Lineage: Bacteria
Description: partial 16S ribosomal RNA
Rfam family: Bacterial small subunit ribosomal RNA
Source: RNAcentral
UGCGUAGGCGGUUAUAUUAGUCGGGUGUUAAAUCCUGGGGCUCAACCUCAGAAUCGCAUUCGAAACGGUAUAACUAGAAGAAGUCAGAGGUAAGCAGAACUCUCGGUGUAGGGGUGAAAUCCGUUGAUAUCGAGGGGAAUACCAAAUGCGAAGGCAGCUUACUGGGACUUUCUUGACGCUGAGGCACGAAAGCGUGGGUAGCGAACG